UGGUUGGAUAUAGAACUCUCAAGUUGAUUUUAAUCUACUUACUCUUGCCAGUAGAUUGGGAACCCAAAACGGCAACAACAUGAUAGUUGAAACCAGCAUCUAACAGUCCUACGCUUUGCAUAAACUUUGGUAAUUCAUUGUUGAAUUGUUUAUGUUCAUCCACAAUUUGUGUGGAAACCCUAUUGGAAGCAGUACUCAUGUUUUGGUGUAAGCGGAAGACAAGUUAACAAACAUAUAAGGUAGUGUGAUGU
Schizosaccharomyces pombe (fission yeast) is the source of this 251-nucleotide non-coding RNA. Lineage: Eukaryota; Fungi; Ascomycota; Schizosaccharomycetes; Schizosaccharomycetales; Schizosaccharomycetaceae. The record is from the annotation of a GenBank genome assembly.